UGGGGAAUUUUGGACAAUGGGGGCAACCCUGAUCCAGCCAUGCCGCGUGAGUGAAGAAGGCCUUCGGGUUGUAAAGCUCUUUCGGCGGGGACGAAACGGUCCGUGACAACACCACGGGCUAAUGACAGUACUCGCAGAAGAAGCACCGGCUAACUACGUGCCAGCAGCCGCGGUAAUACGUAGGGUGCAAGCGUUAAUCGGAAUUACUGGGCGUAAAGCGUGCGCAGGCGGUUGUGUAAGUCAGAUGUGAAAUCCCCGGGCUCAACCUGGGAAUUGCAUUUGAGACUGCACGGCUAGAGUGUGUCAGAGGGGGGUAGAAUUCCACGUGUAGCAGUGAAAUGCGUAGAUAUGUGGAGGAAUACCGAUGGCGAAGGCAGCCCCCUGGGAUAACACUGACG
RNAcentral lists this ribosomal RNA (398 nucleotides) under uncultured bacterium. Its description in RNAcentral is "bacterial SSU rRNA". It matches the Rfam family "Bacterial small subunit ribosomal RNA", at positions 355 to 745 of the family's 1533-position model. The record is from RNAcentral.